This 517-nucleotide ribosomal RNA is filed under the name uncultured Staphylococcus sp. Its description in RNAcentral is "partial 16S ribosomal RNA". Lineage: Bacteria; Bacillati; Bacillota; Bacilli; Caryophanales; Staphylococcaceae. The record is from RNAcentral.
CACGUAGUUAGCCGUGGCUUUCUGAUUAGGUACCGUCAAGAUGUGCACAGUUACUUACACAUUUGUUCUUCCCUAAUAACAGAGUUUUACGAGCCGAAACCCUUCAUCACUCACGCGGCGUUGCUCCGUCAGGCUUUCGCCCAUUGCGGAAGAUUCCCUACUGCUGCCUCCCGUAGGAGUCUGGACCGUGUCUCAGCUCCAGUGUGGCCGAUCACCCUCUCAGGUCGGCUACGUAUCGUCGCCUUGGUAAGCCGUUACCUUACCAACUAGCUAAUACGGCGCGGGUCCAUCUAUAAGUGAUAGCAAAACCAUCUUUCACUUUAGAACCAUGCGGUUCUAAAUGUUAUCCGGUAUUAGCUCCGGUUUCCCGAAGUUAUCCCAGUCUUAUAGGUAGGUUACCCACGUGUUACUCACCCGUCCGCCGCUAACUUCAAAGGAGCAAGCUCCUUAUCUGUUCGCUCGACUUGCAUGUAUUAGGCACGCCGCCAGCGUUCAUCCUGAGCCAGGAUCAAACUCU